This 431-nucleotide ribosomal RNA is filed under the name uncultured bacterium. Its description in RNAcentral is "partial 16S ribosomal RNA". It matches the Rfam family "Bacterial small subunit ribosomal RNA", at positions 29 to 507 of the family's 1533-position model. The record is from RNAcentral.
AACGAACGCUGGCGGCAGGCUUAACACAUGCAAGUCGAACGCCCCGCAAGGGGCGUGGCAGACGGGUGAGUAACGCGUGGGAACAUACCCUUUUCUACGGAAUAGCUCUGGGAAACUGGAAUUAAUACCGUAUACGCCCUACGGGGGAAAGAUUUAUCGGGGAAGGAUUGGCCCGCGUUGGAUUAGCUAGUUGGUGGGGUAAAGGCCUACCAAGGCGACGAUCCAUAGCUGGUCUGAGAGGAUGAUCAGCCACAUUGGGACUGAGACACGGCUCAAACUCCUACGGGAGGCAGCAGUGGGGAAUAUUGGACAAUGGGCGCAAGCCUGAUCCAGCCAUGCCGCGUGAGUGAUGAAGGCCUUAGGGUUGUAAAGCUCUUUCACCGAUGAAGAUAAUGACGGUAGUCGGAGAAGAAGCCCCGGCUAACUUCGUG